Molecule: transfer RNA, 77 nt
Filed under: Pleurocapsa sp. SU_196_0
Lineage: Bacteria; Bacillati; Cyanobacteriota; Cyanophyceae; Pleurocapsales; Pleurocapsaceae
Description: tRNA-Pro
Source: RNAcentral
CGGAGGUCGGACUCAAGGGGAGUCUCCCGUUUUGGAGACGGGAUAUCAGGCAAGUUCGAUUCUUGCACCUCCGACCA